This is a long non-coding RNA of Branchiostoma floridae (Florida lancelet), 2677 nucleotides long. RefSeq lists it as uncharacterized. NCBI's taxonomy places the organism in Eukaryota, Metazoa, Chordata, Leptocardii, Amphioxiformes, Branchiostomatidae. The transcript has 2 exons. The record is from RefSeq and is a predicted model, not a curated record.
UUGAUGCGCGCAGAUGUCACUUGAAUCAACGUGGCCUUACGGUGAAAAAAAAUAAUCACCACAGUCUUCAUGAACCCUUGAUGGGAAAUGACCACUGAAUUGUCAGAUUGGUUCUGGCGGAAUAUUUGACUAACACACUUUGUAAACCCAUCAAUGCAAUGCAGAAUGGAUCAAUACAACACUGUGCGAAUUCCACUCUCGACAACGUUGUGUUGCUCCUGGGAUUGCCGAUUAUGAGAUCAAUGUAAUGCUAGUUCACCUUUGUCCGCGGGGUAACCUAUAUCAGCUUCAUUAUUCAUAUUCCAACAUUUUCGAGUCCGUCGACUUGAUAUCCUAAAUAUACUGUGAUUUUAAAAGUGACAACGGAUAUAAGUUACCCCGCGGCGAAGUAACGUUACUACAUGUACAUGUACCAGUCUCUGUGAUAAAGAGCAGCGCUCGCCAGGUCAAUGAAUAUUAAUGAACGGAUUCAACCCUGCGAGGCUUUUAACGCGGAUCGCACUCCAUUGCUAUCAAACGCAGCGCUGGCAGAGGUUUAACAUAUCAGUUCGCCACGCACAUUUCACGUAACUGCAUUGCACAGGACCUGCAGAGGAGACGCUGCUAACAUUUACAAUCUACGGCUUCUUCAGUGUCAGUCAAAUCGCUGACAGCAUUUGCCAUCUGAAGGCUUGUUCAGCUCGAAUCACAACGAAGCGUCCGAAGAUGAAGCAAGAGGCCCCUCCACCCGUGGAGGGAGAGACCAUGGCGAACAAACUGUCACACAAGCAUGGCGCCCCACCUCUCCCCAUCAUCCGUCCAGUGGCCGCCGACAACAACGCUGGCUCCAGCUCGGGCAGGAAAGAGAAAAUAGCCAGCAAGACCAACAAGAAGUGGAUGCGGCUCGCCACAGUCUUUGCCUAUGUGUUUUUCGUGUCCCUUGCUGCCAUCAUUUUGGCCAUUUACUAUAGCUUCUUCUGGAUAGGAACACCCCAGAGUAUCACACAGACAAACGGCAAUGACACGGUCUUCAGUUCGGCAUAAUCUGUUUCACAGCCCACGAGAAGGCAAGAUCCUAAGAAGAGAAAGGACGGUGUGAUUUCAACCUUCUAAUCUCCUGCCGUGUCCACCGCUGUUCCAUCAUCCAUCACCCUGUAUAACUAACGACUUUCCUACUGCCUCGUGGAUGAAAUCUUCAUAUCUCCUCGCAUGGCAGGGUACCCUGGCUGAAUCCAUUAACAGUAAUCAGCCCAGAUGUGUGCACGACCCACAUCGCUCGGACAUUACCUGAUGGAAACCACUCAACUCAUUAGAUCCUGCUAAAUAUAUCGCCGCACUCCGGGGUGCGUACGGAGAACUAAUGAUGUUUUUGCUGCGUCAUCAGUGUCUGCUUUGACCCGUCUGGCCUUUACGGCUUGUUUUCCUUUUUUUAUUGUAUAUCAGAACAAUAUUGAAGAAUGUGAACAUCAUAGGAUCGAAUAAAGGGCAAUAAAGGAUUAUGUAUACUUAUGAAGUAUUAUAAGCUUACUGGCAUCGUUGAUGACGUUACGCCGUAUCACCCAAGAACACCGUACUUGUAUCAUAAAACUGUUACGCUGCGUAUACGUAAUUUAAACUAAAUGGUUUCAACAAAACAUCUUUCAUUGUGUCUAGUGCCUACCAUGAGGGGUGGCUACUUAUAGCGUGUAGGUAGCUACUUUUAUUAGAAAAAUAUGGAUUGUUGUAAAGAACGAAGUGUCAAAACGUUGGAUGCCAAUCCUUCCGCUUUUCAUGGCACAAAUAGUGACCCAAAAUGAUUUGCGUCGAAUAGAUCAUUCCACAUGUGGUACGCCUGGUAUGGCGCGGGACGAAUGGUUUUCCGGUACCGACUGAUAACAUUUCACAAUAAAGGAUAAGGAAUAGUCUUGCUUUUCCAGUAAUGGCCCUUAAGUCUAUACAUCGGGAUGUUAUUAAACAAGUGUUCUGCAGAAAGCCACAUAUGAAUAGAGGGACUGUAGUCUGACGCCCUAGAGGUCACACAGAGGAUUUCUUAUGGACAAACUAAGGAACUGUUGUAGGAUUUGACACCAACUGCAGUGAUGGUGCUGUUUGUUUGACAGGAAAUGAACUGUAGGAUUCUAUACUUUGAUAUUGUGUUGCCACCUGUUAUUGUCAACAAACACUAGCUUCCCAGACACUGACAUUACGUGUAUUUGAAUCAUUGUACAUGUACUAUGAAAUACUUUACAUUUCUGUCUCAUAGAGUACUCUACUUGUCUUUUGCUAAGAAACCUUAUCUGAACCUUCUCUUGUGUAUAAUAAUCAAGGCACUGCCGUAUUGUUCAAUUAGAAUCAAUCCACACACUUAUCAAGCCGUCAAAUACCGAAAUGUCUACUGUUCAUCUUCGGUUCAAUGUAAAAAAUGAGAAAUAUUGAAAUAACACGAAAGUUUCAUUGUGUACAGCAGAGUCUUCCAUUGUUUCCCCGGAAAUUGUGGACCAGCAACAAGACACAACAGAAAUGAUAUAACUCUGUAUCACAUUUUGUGACCAAUUUAUUCAAUAAUCAUCAUCAUAAUAAUCCCUUGCAGCCCAGGUUAAAUUCAUUACAAAAUGGCUAGCUCUACGCAAACCAGUGACUGCUGGAAACAGCAUGUCAUUGGUAUCUUAGGACAAAAUAUCUUUUAAGACAUUCCAAACAGCAGUGCAGGGUAAAAAAA